RNAcentral lists this ribosomal RNA (320 nucleotides) under uncultured Prevotella sp. Its description in RNAcentral is "bacterial SSU rRNA". It matches the Rfam family "Bacterial small subunit ribosomal RNA", at positions 28 to 339 of the family's 1533-position model. Lineage: Bacteria; Pseudomonadati; Bacteroidota; Bacteroidia; Bacteroidales; Prevotellaceae. The record is from RNAcentral.
GAUGAACGCUAGCUACAGGCUUAACACAUGCAAGUCGAGGGGCAUCAUUAUCGAAGCUUGCUUUGAUAGAUGGCGACCGGCGCACGGGUGAGUAACGCGUAUCCAACCUUCCCCUUAGUAGGGCACAGCCCGGCGAAAGUCGGAUUAAUUCCCUAUGUUGUUUGAUGCUGACAUCAAAAUCAAACCAAAGAUUCAUCGCUAAGGGAUGGGGAUGCGUCUGAUUAGGCAGUUGGCGGGGUAACGGCCCACCAAACCGACGAUGGGUAGGGGUUCUGAGAGGAAGGUCCCCCACAAUGGAACUGAGACACGGUCCAUACUCC